This is a non-coding RNA of Trichonephila inaurata madagascariensis, 72 nucleotides long. The record is from the annotation of a GenBank genome assembly. Lineage: Eukaryota; Metazoa; Arthropoda; Arachnida; Araneae; Nephilidae.
GGGUAUAUAGCUCAGUGGUAAAAUAUUCAACUGCACUUUGAGAGGUCUCCGGUUCGAGCCCGGGUGUUCCCU